This 260-nucleotide ribosomal RNA is filed under the name uncultured bacterium. RNAcentral describes it as "partial 16S ribosomal RNA". It matches the Rfam family "Bacterial small subunit ribosomal RNA", at positions 355 to 634 of the family's 1533-position model. The record is from RNAcentral.
UGGGAAGUCUUGCACAAUGGGCGACCUACGAUGCAGCGACGCCGCGUGAGCGAUGAAGCCUUCGGGUGUGAAGCAUCUUUCGGCAGGGAAGAUGAUGACGGUACCUGCAGAAGCAGCUGCGGCUAACUACGUGCCAGCAGCCGCGGUAAUACGUAGGCAGCAAGCGUUGUUCGGAGUUACUGGGCGUAAAGGGUGUGUAGGCGGCCUUCUAAGUUUGGUGUGAAAUCUCCCGGCUCAACCGGGAGGGUGCGCCGAAGACU